This 457-nucleotide ribosomal RNA is filed under the name Metapolybia miltoni. Its description in RNAcentral is "partial large subunit ribosomal RNA". The stretch from base 332 to 457 matches the Rfam family "Bacterial large subunit ribosomal RNA", at positions 2473 to 2599 of the family's 2925-position model. The record is from RNAcentral. Lineage: Eukaryota; Metazoa; Arthropoda; Insecta; Hymenoptera; Vespidae.
AGUCGUUCUGCCCAUUGUUUUUAAAAGGCUGCGGUAUAUUAACUGUACAAAGGUAGCAAAAUAAAUAGUUUUUUAAUUGAAAACUUGAAUGAAAGAGUUGAUAAAAUAUAAAUUGUCUUAAAUAUUGAAUUUAAAUUAAAAGUUAAAAUGCUUUUAUAUUUUUAUUAGACGAUAAGACCCUAAGAAUUUUAUUAUUUAUUUUAUUUUUAUAAAUUUAUAAAGAAUGAGUAAUUUUAUUGGGAGGGUAAAUAAAUUGAACUUUAAUUUACUUAAAUAUUUUUUGAUAAAUUUAAUGAUUAUUAUUAAGAUUAUAAGAAUUAAUUACCUUAGGGAUAACAGCGUAAUAAUUUUGGAGAGUUCAUAUUGAUAAAAUUGUUUGCGACCUCGAUGUUGAAUUAAAAUAAAAAUUGAAUGGAGAAAUUCAAAUUUUUAGUCUGUUCGACUAUUAAAAUUUUAC